GGGGCAAUCGGGUGCUUACACAUGCAGUCGAGCGGUAAGGCCCUUCGGGGUACACGAGCGGCGAACGGGUGAGUACCCUUGGGUGAUCUGCCUUGCACUCUGGGAUAAGCCUGGGAAACUGGGUCUAAUACCGGAUAUGAGCCUGGACUGCAUGGUCCGGGUUGGAAAGGUUUACUGGUGCGAGAUGGGCCCGCGGCCUAUCAGCUUGUUGGUGGGGUAACGGCCUACCAAGGCGACGACGGGUAGCCGACCUGAGAGGGUGACCGGCCACACUGGGACUGAGACACGGCCCAGACUCCUACGGGAGGCAGCAGUGGGGAAUAUUGCACAAUGGGCGAAAGCCUGAUGCAGCGACGCCGCGUGAGGGAUGACGGCCUUCGGGUUGUAAACCUCUUUUGACAGGGACGAAGCGCAAGUGACGGUACCUGUAGAAGAAGCACCGGCCAACUACGUGCCAGCAGCCGCGGUAAUACGUAGGGUGCGAGCGUUGUCCGGAAUUACUGGGCGUAAAGAGCUUGUAGGCGGUCUGUCGCGUCGAUUGUGAAAACUUGCAGCUCAACUGCAAGCUUGCAGUCGAUACGGGCAGACUAGAGUACUUCAGGGGAGACUGGAAUUCCUGGUGUAGCGGUGAAAUGCGCAGAUAUCAGGAGGAACACCGGUGGCGAAGGCGGGUCUCUGGGAAGUAACUGACGCUGAGAAGCGAAAGCGUGGGUAGCGAACAGGAUUAGAUACCCUGGUAGUCCACGCCGUAAACGGUGGGUACUAGGUGUGGGUUUCCUUCCACGGGAUCCGUGCCGUAGCUAACGCAUUAAGUACCCCGCCUGGGGAGUACGGCCGCAAGGCUAAAACUCAAAGGAAUUGACGGGGGCCCGCACAAGCGGCGGAGCAUGUGGAUUAAUUCGAUGCAACGCGAAGAACCUUACCUGGGUUUGACUUCCCCCGGAAAGCUGUU
RNAcentral lists this ribosomal RNA (952 nucleotides) under Nocardia sp. 17-G. RNAcentral's name for it is "bacterial SSU rRNA". It matches the Rfam family "Bacterial small subunit ribosomal RNA", at positions 32 to 1002 of the family's 1533-position model. Lineage: Bacteria; Bacillati; Actinomycetota; Actinomycetes; Mycobacteriales; Nocardiaceae. The record is from RNAcentral.